CCGGCUAUCUACGUGCCAGCAGCCGCGGUAAUACGUAGGGGGCAAGCGUUAUCCGGAUUUCUUGGGUGUAAAGGGAGUGUAGACGGCGUUGCAAGUCUGAAGUGUAAUGCCGGGGCCCACCCCGGGAAUUGCUUUGGAACCUGUGCAGCUAGAGUGCAGGAGGGGUGAGCGGAAUUCCUAGUGUAGCGGUGAAAUGGGUAGAUAUUUGGAGGAACACCGGUGGCGAAGGCGGCUCUCUGGUCUGUAACUGACGUUGAGGCUCGAAAGCGUGGAGAGCAAACAGGAUUACAUACCCUGGUAGUCCACGCCGUAAAAGAUGAUUACUAGGUGUGGGGGGGCCAAGGCCCUUCGGUGCCGGCGCAAAACGCAUUAAGUAAUCCACCUGGGGAGUACGUUCGCAAGAAUGAAACUCAAAGGAAAUUGACGGGGACCCGCACAAGCGGUGGAGCAUGUGGUUUAAUCCGAAGCAACGCGAAGAACCUUACCCGGCCUUGACAUCCCGAUGAAUGUACAGUAAUGUGUACAGGACUUCGGUACAUCGGAGACAGGUGGUGCAUGGUUGUCGUCAGCUCGUGUCGUGAGAUGUUGGGUUAAGUCCCGCAACGAGCGCAACCCCUGCCCUCAGUAGCCAGCAGGUAAAGCUGGGAACUCUGAGGGGACUGCCCGGGAUAACCGGGAGGAAGGCGGGGAUGACGUCAAAUCAUCAUGCCCCUUAUGGCCGGGGCUACACACGUGCUACAAUGGCGGAAACAGAGGGAAGCAGCCCCGUGAGGGUGAGCGAACCCCAAAAAUACCGCCUCAGUUCGGAUUGUAGUCUGCAACCCGACUACAUGAAGCCGGAAUCGCUAGUAAUCGCGAAUCAGAAUGUCGCGGUGAAUACGUUCCCGGGUCUUGCACACACCGCCCGUCA
RNAcentral lists this ribosomal RNA (910 nucleotides) under uncultured bacterium. RNAcentral describes it as "bacterial SSU rRNA". It matches the Rfam family "Bacterial small subunit ribosomal RNA", at positions 493 to 1399 of the family's 1533-position model. The record is from RNAcentral.